UGGUCUGUUACUGACGCUGAGGCUCGAAAGCAUGGGUAGCGAACAGGAUUAGAUACCCUGGUAGUCCAUGCCGUAAACGAUGAAUACUAGGUGUUGGAGGGUUUCCGCCCUUCAGUGCCGCAGCUAACGCAUUAAGUAUUCCGCCUGGGGAGUACGACCGCAAGGUUGAAACUCAAAGGAAUUGACGGGGGCCCGCACAAGUGGUGGAGCAUGUGGUUUAAUUCGAUGCUACGCGAAGAACCUUACCAGCUCUUGACAUCUUCUGCCAACCCAAGAGAUUGGGCGUUCCCUUCGGGGACAGAAUGACAGGUGGUGCAUGGUUGUCGUCAGCUCGUGUCGUGAGAUGUUGGGUUAAGUCCCGCAACGAGCGCAACCCUUAUUAUUAGUUGCCAGCAUUUAGUUGGGCACUCUAGUGAGACUGCCGGUGAUAAACCGGAGGAAGGUGGGGACGACGUCAAAUCAUCAUGCCCCUUAUGAGCUGGGCUACACACGUGCUACAAUGGAUGGUACAACGAGUCGCGAAACCGCGAGGUCAAGCUAAUCUCUUAAAGCCAUUCUCAGUUCGGAUUGCAGGCUGCAACUCGCCUGCAUGAAGUUGGAAUCACUAGUAAUCGUGGAUCAGCAUGCCACGGUGAAUACGUUCCCGGGCCUUGUACACACCGCCCGUCACACCAUGAGAGUUUGUAACACCCAAA
This 695-nucleotide ribosomal RNA is filed under the name Apilactobacillus kunkeei. RNAcentral's name for it is "bacterial SSU rRNA". It matches the Rfam family "Bacterial small subunit ribosomal RNA", at positions 730 to 1425 of the family's 1533-position model. The record is from RNAcentral. Lineage: Bacteria; Bacillati; Bacillota; Bacilli; Lactobacillales; Lactobacillaceae.